This 417-nucleotide long non-coding RNA is filed under the name Brassica napus (rape). Its description in RNAcentral is "long non-coding RNA (BNAP_LNC024857)". The record is from RNAcentral. Lineage: Eukaryota; Viridiplantae; Streptophyta; Magnoliopsida; Brassicales; Brassicaceae.
AGGCAUCCCGCGGGACGGCCCGCGAAGGCCUAUAUGUUUUGCGGUACGAGUUUAGGCCAGCAUUUUGAGGACCGCAGUCCGCGCGGGACAGGCCCGCUGUGACCCGCUCGAUGACUAAUCCGCCGCGGUUCGGAAUGGGACGGGAUGGGUAAACCUGUUUGACAUCUCUAAUUGGAAGGGUGAUUCAUGAAGAGUUUAUGGAUUUGAAAAGUUUAUAGAUUUUGAAGAAUUGGAAAGUUUUCAUGGAUUUUAACAAACAAGUGCAUCCAUAUUUAUAGAAUCCAUACAAUUUUCAUAGAUUGUUUUUUUUUAGCAAUUUUCAUAGAUUGUUAUGGAUUCGUAAUUACAUUAAUUUUUGUUAUUGUUUAUGUAAAAUAAUUAUAUAAGAAUAUUCUUCUAGAAAAUGUUUCAUAUAAU